This 147-nucleotide ribosomal RNA is filed under the name Ramaria concolor. RNAcentral's name for it is "5.8S ribosomal RNA". It matches the Rfam family "5.8S ribosomal RNA". From Rfam's summary of the family: 5.8S ribosomal RNA (5.8S rRNA) is a component of the large subunit of the eukaryotic ribosome. It is transcribed by RNA polymerase I as part of the 45S precursor that also contains 18S and 28S rRNA. Functionally, it is thought that 5.8S rRNA may be involved in ribosome translocation. The record is from RNAcentral. Lineage: Eukaryota; Fungi; Basidiomycota; Agaricomycetes; Gomphales; Gomphaceae.
CUUUCAACAACGGAUCUCUUGGCUUUCGCAUCGAUGAAGAACGCCGCGAAAGCGCGAAACGUAAUGUGAAUUGCAGAAUUCAGUGAAUCAUCGAAUCUUUGAAGACGCAUUCUKSCGYUCCUUGGUAUUCCCGAGGAGCAUGCCUGU